UGGUGUUGUGUGUUAAACUGUA
RNAcentral lists this microRNA (22 nucleotides) under Danio rerio (zebrafish). RNAcentral's name for it is "dre-miR-7133-5p". The record is from miRBase by way of RNAcentral. Lineage: Eukaryota; Metazoa; Chordata; Actinopteri; Cypriniformes; Danionidae.